GAAAAUCGAAGAGAGAAACCUGGAGUCAGCGACGGAAAGCAAGAAGCUCACCACCGCCAGCCACCGCAAAACCACCACCACCACCUCCAACCUUACUCAAAACCCACUGUAAAUGGCUAGAAUCGUUACCCCAGAGAGUGGAAUUCCUCAAGCCCUAAACCCAAUACCACUGUUACAAUGGUUCCCGGGUAUGGGAAGCGCUCCGACUGUCAUGCAACCACUAUCGGAGAAGAAGGAAGAUAGAAAACAAUCAAAGGAAGCAGCGAUGAUCACCACAACGAGGAAGCUCACAUACUCAGUCGAAUCUCAGAAGCAAACCUUUGCUGAAGUGAUUACAGGUAACAGAAACCAGAAGCAGGGCAUGCAACUAAAAUUCUACUCUCCGGUGGUCAAAGAUG
This 398-nucleotide long non-coding RNA is filed under the name Nicotiana benthamiana. Its description in RNAcentral is "long non-coding RNA (NBEN_LNC016400)". The record is from RNAcentral. Lineage: Eukaryota; Viridiplantae; Streptophyta; Magnoliopsida; Solanales; Solanaceae.